GACGAACGCUGGCGGCGUGCUUAACACAUGCAAGUCGAACGGUAAGGCCCUGCUUUUGUGGGGUGCUCGAGUGGCGAACGGGUGAGUAACACGUGAGUAACCUGCCCUUGACUUUGGGAUAACUUCAGGAAACUGGGGCUAAUACCGGAUAGGAGCUCCUGCUGCAUGGUGGGGGUUGGAAAGUUUCGGCGGUUGGGGAUGGACUCGCGGCUUAUCAGCUUGUUGGUGGGGUAGUGGCUUACCAAGGCUUUGACGGGUAGCCGGCCUGAGAGGGUGACCGGCCCCAUUGGGACUGAGAUACGGCCCAGACUCCUACGGGAGGCAGCAGUGGGGAAUAUUGCACAAUGGGCGGAAGCCUGAUGCAGCAACGCCGCGUGCGGGAUGACGGCCUUCGGGUUGUAAACCGCUUUCGCCUGUGACGAAGCGUGAGUGACGGUAAUGGGUAAAGAAGCACCGGCUAACUACGU
Molecule: ribosomal RNA, 467 nt
Filed under: uncultured bacterium
Lineage: Bacteria
Description: partial 16S ribosomal RNA
Rfam family: Bacterial small subunit ribosomal RNA
Source: RNAcentral